Molecule: ribosomal RNA, 425 nt
Filed under: uncultured bacterium
Lineage: Bacteria
Description: bacterial SSU rRNA
Rfam family: Bacterial small subunit ribosomal RNA
Source: RNAcentral
GUGAGGAAUAUUGGUCAAUGGGCGUAAGCCUGAACCAGCCAAGUCGCGUGAGGGAUGAAGGAUCUAUGGUUCGUAAACCUCUUUUAUAAGGGAAUAAAGUGCGGGACGUGUCCUGUUUUGUAUGUACCUUAUGAAUAAGGAUCGGCUAACUCCGUGCCAGCAGCCGCGGUAAUACGGAGGAUCCGAGCGUUAUCCGGAUUUAUUGGGUUUAAAGGGUGCGUAGGCGGCCUUUUUAGUCAGGGGUGAAAGACGGUGGCUCAACCAUCGAAUUGCCGUUGAAACUGGGGGGCUUGAGUAUGUUUGAGGCAGGCGGAAUGAGUAGUGUAGCGGUGAAAUGCAUAGAUAUCACGCAGAACCCCGAUUGCGAAGGCAGCCUGCCAAGCCAUGACUGACGCUGAUGCACGAAAGCGUGGGGAUCGAACAGG